UGUAGAAUGGUCCGGCGAGUGAAUGUAACUGGCAAGGUUAAGCACUUAAGGUGUGAAGCCGUAGCGAGAGCGAGUCUGAAAAGGGCGCAUGAAGUCAGUUGUAUUCGACCCGAAACCGGGUGACCUACCCAUGUCCAGGCUGAAGUGCAGGUAAAACUUCAUGGAGGGCCGAACCGACUCCCGUUGAAAUGGUAGCGGAUGAGGUGUGGGUAGCGGAGAAAUUCCAAUCGAACCCGGAGAUAGCUGGUUCUCUCCGAAAUAGCUUUAGGGCUAGCCUUGGAAUAGAUUACUGGAGGUAAAGCACUGAAUUGGCUAGGGGCCGAGAGGUUACUGAACCUUAUCAAACUAAGAAUGCCAGAUAAUCGUUUUCCAGGAGUCAGACAGUGGGAGAUAAGUUUCAUUGUCAAAAGGGAAACAGCCCAGACCUACAGCUAAGGUCCCAAAGUAUAGUUAAGUGGAAAAGGAUGUGGAAUUGCAUAGACAACCAGGAUGUUGGCUUAGAAGCAGCCACUCAUUAAAAGAGUGCGUAAUAGCUCACUGGUCGAGUGAUUCUGCGCCGAAAAUUUAACGGGGCUAAACUAUACACCGAAGCUUAGGAUACCGCAAGGUAUGGUAGGAGAGCGUUCUGUACGGAGUGAAGUCGUAGCGAAAGCGGCGGUGGACUGUACAGAAGUGAGAAUGCCGGAAUAAGUAGCGAGAAUUAAGUGAGAAUCUUAAUGGCCGAAAGUCUAAGGUUUUUGGAGGAAGGUUCGUCCGCUCCAAGUAAGUCGGGAGCUAAGGUCAGGCCGAAAGGCGUAGCCGAUGCACAAACGGUUGAUAUUCCGUUACCGUCUACAAUUUAAACAAAGGGACACAUACAAAGCGUUUAACCCGGGCGAUGGUUGACCCGGGCGCAAGGGACUGAAAUAAGAGUAGGGAAGUAAAUGUGGCGUAUGGCGAGAAAAGCUUUGUGAAUAGAAGUAGACGCCCGUACCGCAAACCGACACAGGUGGACAGGAAGAGAAUUCUAAGGCCAGCGGGAGAAGGGUAGUUAAGGAACUCGGCAAAUUGACUCCGUAACUUCGGAAUAAGGAGUGCUCGAAAGAGCCGCAGAGAAUAGGCCCAGGCGACUGUUUAGCAAAAACACAGGUCUCUGCCAAAUCGAAAGAUGAAGUAUAGGGGCUGACACCUGCCCGGUGCCGGAAGGUUAAGAGGAGGAGUGCAAGCUCCGAAUUGAAGCCCCGGUAAACGGCGGCCGUAACUAUAACGGUCCUAAGGUAGCGAAAUUCCUUGUCGGGUAAGUUCCGACCCGCACGAAUGGUGUAACGAUCUGGGCACUGUCUCAACUACCCACCCGGCGAAAUUGUAGUACCGGUGAAGAUGCCGGUUACCUGCGGCAAGACGGAAAGACCCCAUGGAGCUUUACUGUAGCCUGAUAUUGGGUUUCGGAAAUCUAUGUACAGGAUAGGCGGGAGACUGGGAAGUAUGAGCGUCAGCUUAUACGGAGUCAUUGUUGGGAUACCGCCCUUAGGUUUCUGGAAUUCUAACCUGCGACCGUGAAUCCGGUCGGGGGACAUUGUCAGGUGGGCAGUUUGACUGGGGCGGUCGCCUCCGAAAAGGUAACGGAGGCGCUCAAAGGUUGGCUCAGCACGGACGGAAACCGUGCCUCAGAGUGUAAACGCAAAAGCCAGCCUAACUGCGAGGAUGACGGUCCGAGCAGUAACGAAAGUUGGAGUUAGUGAUCCGGCGGUAUGUGAAUGGAAAUGCCGUCGCUCAACGGAUAAAAGCUACCCUGGGGAUAACAGGCUGAUCUCCCCCAAGAGUCCACAUCGACGGGGAGGUUUGGCACCUCGAUGUCGGCUCAUCACAUCCUGGGGCUGUAUUCGGUCCCAAGGGUUCGGCUGUUCGCCGAUUAAAGUGGUACGCGAGCUGGGUUCAGAACGUCGCGAGACAGUUCGGUCCCUAUCUGUCGUGGGCGCAGGAUAUUUGAGGAGCUCUGUCCUUAGUACGAGAGGACCGGGAUGGACGUACCUCUGGUGCACCAGUUGUCAUGCCAAUGGCACGGCUGGGCAGCUACGUACGGAACGGAUAAACGCUGAAAGCAUCUAAGCGUGAAGCCGACUCCAAGAUUAGAUAUCCCAUUGCAUAAGCAAGUAAGACCCCUUGAGGACUACGAGGUUGAUAGGCUGCGUGUGUAAGUGUCGUGAGGCAUUUAGCUUGGCAGUACUAAUAGGUCGAGGGCUUGACCAC
This 2229-nucleotide ribosomal RNA is filed under the name human gut metagenome. RNAcentral's name for it is "bacterial LSU rRNA". It matches the Rfam family "Bacterial large subunit ribosomal RNA", at positions 609 to 2925 of the family's 2925-position model. The record is from RNAcentral.